GAGAAUUCUACCGAAAAUCUGACAAAACCUCCCCUACAAUAGUACAUUACCCCCCAUAAAAACGGGUCCAGGACCUGCCAGAAAAACACUACAAAUAUCCAAUAAUCCAGACAACGAGAGUCGGGUCCCCAGACUUCACUAUUUCCCGACUCCGCCACAAAGCACAAAACACGAGGCAGGCAAACUAACAGACAAUUAUU
This 200-nucleotide long non-coding RNA is filed under the name Ricinus communis (castor bean). RNAcentral describes it as "long non-coding RNA (RCOM_LNC002711)". Lineage: Eukaryota; Viridiplantae; Streptophyta; Magnoliopsida; Malpighiales; Euphorbiaceae. The record is from RNAcentral.